UACGUAGGGUGCAAGCGUUGUCCGGAAUUAUUGGGCGUAAAGCGCGUGUAGGCGGCUUGGCAAGUCGGAUGUGAAAGCCCACGGCUCAACCCCGGAACUGCAUUCGAUACUGCUGCGCUAGAGUACUGGAGAGGAGAUUGGAAUUUACGGUGUAGCAGUGAAAUGCGUAGAUAUCGUAAGGAAGACCAGUGGCGAAGGCGGAUCUCUGGACAGUUACUGACACUGAGGCACGAAGGCCAGGGGAGCAAACGGG
This 253-nucleotide ribosomal RNA is filed under the name uncultured bacterium. Its description in RNAcentral is "partial 16S ribosomal RNA". It matches the Rfam family "Bacterial small subunit ribosomal RNA", at positions 524 to 776 of the family's 1533-position model. The record is from RNAcentral.